RNAcentral lists this long non-coding RNA (548 nucleotides) under Trifolium pratense (red clover). Its description in RNAcentral is "long non-coding RNA (TPRA_LNC009663)". The record is from RNAcentral. Lineage: Eukaryota; Viridiplantae; Streptophyta; Magnoliopsida; Fabales; Fabaceae.
UGGCCAUUUUGAGCUUGUGCUGUGCUUGCUCUAUUUUGCUUUAGAACUAUGUUGAUUUUCAUGCUCAAGAGCUUGGCCAUUUCGAACUUGUGUUGUAAUAUUUCUACAAGACUUUAUUUCCCUGCUUUUCAUAGUGCUUGCCCCAAUGCUUGCUCUUUUAUGAUUGAUUUCCAUGUUCUUAUCACUCUUAGAACCGUCUUGCUUUUAUUCUCAUGCUUGCUUGCUCUUUCUACUUGACCAUGUUGUAGUAUCUCCACUAGACUUGAUUUACCUACUUUUCAAAGUACUUGCUCCAAUGCUUGCUCUUCUUAUAUCAUGAGCAAUGAAUGAUUUUGCACUUAAAUUGCUAUCACUAACUAUUUUUGGUACAUAGCAUCCAUGAUUCCCAACAACCAUGAUUAUUAUAUGUGUCCUUCUUCCAAACCCUUGCCAUGCCUCACUUGGCAUUCCACUAAAUGAAUCAAUUUGAUUAAUCUCUAUAUGCUUAUGACUAACUUCUUUUUGACUCAUAACAUCCAUGAUUGGCAACAACCAUGAUUGGUAUAUAU